CUCUCAUCAAGCCAAGUUCCCGGAGGAGAUCAGCUCGUCAUGCUAGAGCACUUUUUCAAUGGGCUCCCCAACGACAAGGCAACGACUCAUUUGUAUGUCAUCCAUAUCAACUUUCGAUGCCACUUUCUGCGCCUACCAUGGUGACCACGGGUAACGGGGAAUCAGGGUUUGAUACUGGAGAGAGAGCCUGAGAAAUGGCUACCACAUGCAAGGAAGGCAGCAGGCAGGUAAAUGACCCACUCCUGACGCAGGAAGGUAGUGAUG
Molecule: non-coding RNA, 264 nt
Organism: Pelobates cultripes (western spadefoot toad)
Lineage: Eukaryota; Metazoa; Chordata; Amphibia; Anura; Pelobatidae
Source: the annotation of a GenBank genome assembly